AGUGAACGCUGGCGGUAGGCUUAACACAUGCAAGUCGAACGGCAGAACAGUAAGAGCUUGCUCUUACGGUUGGGGAGUGUCGGACGGGUGAGGAGUACAUCGGCAUGUACUUAUUCGUGGGGGUUAACGUAGGGAAACUUACGAUAAUACCGCAUACGACGUACGGGUGAAAGCAGGGGAUCUUCGGACCUUGAGCGAUUCCAUGAGCCGAUGUCGGAUUAGCUAGUUGGCGGGGUAAAGGCCCACGAAGGCGACGCGACGUCGCGGGUCUGUGAGGAUGAUCAGCCACACUGGAACUGAGACACGGCCCAGACUCCUACGGUGGGCAGCAGUGGGGAAUAUUGGAGAAUGGGCGCAAGCCUGAUCCAGCCAUACCGCGGGAGUGAAGAAGGCCUUCGGGUUGUAGAACGCUGAUGUAGGGAAAGAAAAGCAGCAGGUUAAUACCCCGCGGUUAUGACGGUACCCAAAGAAUAAGCACCGGCUAACUUCGUG
Molecule: ribosomal RNA, 492 nt
Filed under: uncultured bacterium
Lineage: Bacteria
Description: partial 16S ribosomal RNA
Rfam family: Bacterial small subunit ribosomal RNA
Source: RNAcentral